GUGGGGAAUAUUGGACAAUGGGCGAAAGCCUGAUCCAGCCAUGCCGCGUGUGUGAAGAAGGUCUUCGGAUUGUAAAGCACUUUAAGUUGGGAGGAAGGGCAGUAAGUUAAUACCUUGCUGUUUUGACGUUACCGACAGAAUAAGCACCGGCUAACUUCGUGCCAGCAGCCGCGGUAAUACGAAGGGUGCAAGCGUUAAUCGGAAUUACUGGGCGUAAAGCGCGCGUAGGUGGUUUUGUAAGUUGGAGGUGAAAUCCCCGGGCUCAACCUGGGAACUGCCUCCAAAACUGCAUGAUUAGAGUACGGUAGAGGGUAGUGGAAUUUCCUGUGUAGCGGUGAAAUGCGUAGAUAUAGGAAGGAACACCAGUGGCGAAGGCGACUACCUGGACUGAUACUGACACUGAGGUGCGAAAGCGUGGGGAGCAAACAGGAUUAGAAACCCCAGUAGUCC
This 450-nucleotide ribosomal RNA is filed under the name uncultured bacterium. RNAcentral's name for it is "partial 16S ribosomal RNA". It matches the Rfam family "Bacterial small subunit ribosomal RNA", at positions 354 to 796 of the family's 1533-position model. The record is from RNAcentral.